This 21-nucleotide microRNA is filed under the name Mus musculus (house mouse). RNAcentral describes it as "mmu-miR-8092". Lineage: Eukaryota; Metazoa; Chordata; Mammalia; Rodentia; Muridae. The record is from miRBase by way of RNAcentral.
GCCAUCUGGGACUCGCAGGCA